This 89-nucleotide transfer RNA is filed under the name Limisphaerales bacterium. Its description in RNAcentral is "Verrucomicrobia subdivision 3 bacterium (hot springs metagenome) tRNA-Leu". It matches the Rfam family "tRNA". From Rfam's summary of the family: Transfer RNA (tRNA) molecules are approximately 80 nucleotides in length. Lineage: Bacteria; Pseudomonadati; Verrucomicrobiota; Verrucomicrobiia; Limisphaerales. The record is from RNAcentral.
GCCGGUGUGGUGGAAAGGCAGACACAAGGGACUUAAAAAUCCCUUGGCCAGCAAUGGCCGUGUGGGUUCAAAUCCCACCACCGGCACCA